RNAcentral lists this ribosomal RNA (253 nucleotides) under uncultured bacterium. Its description in RNAcentral is "partial 16S ribosomal RNA". It matches the Rfam family "Bacterial small subunit ribosomal RNA", at positions 524 to 776 of the family's 1533-position model. The record is from RNAcentral.
GACGGAGGGUGCUAGCGUUGUUCGGAAUGACUGGGCGUAAAGGGCGCGUAGGCGGCUCGUGAAGUCGGGUGUGAAAGCCCGGGGCUCAACCCCGGAACGGCAUCCGAUACUGGCGGGCUUGAGACCGGGAGAGGAGGGUGGAAUACCCAGUGUAGAGGUGAAAUUCGUAGAUAUUAGGAAGAACACCGGUGGCGAAGGCGGCCCACUGGAUCGGUACUGACGCUGAGGUGCGAAAGCGUGGGGAGCAAACAGG